CCAGACGGCUGGAUGACCGCGCGGCCCGGGGGGACACCGCCGGGCCGGGAGGAAAGUCCGGGCUCCACGGAAACACGGUGCCGGGCAACGCCCGGCGGGGGCAACCCCAGGGACAGUGCAACAGAAAGCAAACCGCCUGCCGAAGCCCUGGCGCAAGCCACGGGCGAAGGUGGGUAAGGGUGAAAGGGUGCGGUAAGAGCGCACCGCGCCCCCGGCAACGGGGGUGGCACGGCAAACCCCACCGGGAGCAAGACCGAAUAGGGACGACAGGCCGGCCUUAAAAACCGGCCGGGUAGGUUUUCGGGCCGUCGUCCGGGUAGGUCGCGCGAGGCGUCCGGCAACGGGCGUCCCAGAGGAAUGGUCAUCUCCUGCGAAAGCGGGGACAGAACCCGGCUUACAGGCCGUCUGGCACU
This 413-nucleotide RNase P RNA is filed under the name Alphaproteobacteria bacterium. RNAcentral describes it as "RNase P RNA component class A". It matches the Rfam family "Bacterial RNase P class A". From Rfam's summary of the family: Ribonuclease P (RNase P) is a ubiquitous endoribonuclease, found in archaea, bacteria and eukarya as well as chloroplasts and mitochondria. Its best characterised activity is the generation of mature 5'-ends of tRNAs by cleaving the 5'-leader elements of precursor-tRNAs. The record is from RNAcentral. Lineage: Bacteria; Pseudomonadati; Pseudomonadota; Alphaproteobacteria.